RNAcentral lists this ribosomal RNA (116 nucleotides) under bacterium. The record is from RNAcentral.
CCUGGUGCCUCUUCCGGCCAGGUCCCACCUGAUCCCAUCCCGAACUCAGAAGUGAAACUGGUCUGGGCCGAUGAUACUCCGGUGCAUGCCGGGGGGAAAGUAGGUCGGUGCCAGGU